UCAGUGGUAGAGUGAUGAACUUUAAGAUUGGUGUGAGGGAAGCAUGGGUUCGAACCCCACUCGGAACUUACAAAAAACUUCAAAGAGCAUCCACUGCAUCAUCAUGUGUGCUUAAAAACACACAACACGGUGAUGGAGCUGCCCAGGGGAGUAGGGGAGGUGAGUGCGCAGCACCUCCCCAACCUCCCCAACCUUCCCCACCUUUGUCCCACCCCUUGUCCCACCAUAAAAAGUAGAUUCACUGACCACCAAUUUGAUUCCUUCAGCAACAUGAGGAUACACCAGACUUCCUUGAUUAUUUACCCAUACCAUACUUAUCAUGAUUAUCCCAUACCUUGUCUCACCUGCAGCAGGAACAUCAGGAGCAGCAGGAAUAUUAGUAGCAGCAGGAGCAGCAGGUGAGUGCACAACACCUCCUUACCCUUCCCAUACUUAUCCCAUCCUUUGUCUCAACAACACAGCAGAAACAUCAGGAGCAGCAAGUGAGUAGUGAACAGCAUUUACUUACCCGCCCCAUACUGAUCCCACCCCUUGUCUCACCCACAACAGGAACAAAAGGAACAUCAGGACUAGCAGGAGCAGCAGGAACAACAUCAGGACUAGCAGGAGCAGCAGGAACAUCAUUAGCAGCAGGAAAACCAGGAGCAGCAGGAACAUCAGGAGAAACAGGAACAUCCACAGGUGAGUGCACAACACCUCCCUACCCUUCCCAGACUUAUCCCAUCCCUUGUUUCAUCCACAGCCAGAACAUCAGAAGCAGCAGGAGCAGCAGAUACAAAAGGAGCAUCAGGAGCAGCAGGUGAGUGCACAACUCCUCCCUACCCUUCCCAUCCCUUGUCUCACCCACAGCAGGUACAGCAGGAACAUCAGGAGCACCAGGAACAGCAGGACCAGCGGAUACAGCAAGAAAAUUAGGAGCAGUAAGAACGUCAGGUGCAGCAGGAAAAUCAAGACCAAUCAAUAGGAGCAGCAGGAACAGCAGGGGCAUCAGGAACACAGGGAACAGCAGGUAAAGCAACAACAUCAGAAGCAGCAGGAACAUCAGGAGCAGCAGGUGAGUGCGCAACACCUCCCCACACAUCCCAUACUUAUCCCAUCCCUUGUCUCACCCACUGCAGGUACAGCAGGAACAUAAGGAGAAGCAGGAACAGCAGGAGCAUUAGAUACAGCACCAACAACAGAAGCAGCAAGAACUUCAGGUGCAGCAGGAACAUCAGGACCACUAGGAGCAGCAGGUGAGUGCACAACACCUCCCUACCCUUCCCAUACUUAUCACAUCCACUUUCUCACCCACAGCAAGAACAGAAGGGCAGCAGAUACAGCAGGAAAGUAAGGAGCAGUAUGAGCAGCAGGAACAUCAGGAAGAUCAGCAGCAGCAGUAACAUCAGGAGCAGCAGGAACAUCAGGAGCAGCAGGAACAUCAGGAGCAGCAGGAACAUCAGGAGCAGCAGUAACAUCAGGAGCAGCAGGAACAUCAGGAGCAGCAGGAAGAUCAGGAGCAGCAGGAACAUCAGGAGCAGCAGUAACAUCAGGAGCAACAGGAAUAUCAGGAGCAGCAGGAACAUCAGGAGCAACAUGAGCAGCAGGUGAGUGCAAAACACCUCCUUACCUUUCCCAUACUUAUCCCAUCAUUUGUCUCACCCACAGCAGGUACAGCAGGAACAGCAGGAGCAGCAGAUAAAACAAGAACAUUAGGAACUGCAGGAGUAGCAGGUGAGUGCUCAACACCUCCUUACCCUUACCAUACUCAUCCCAUCCUUUGUCUCACCAACAAAGCAGGUACACAGGAACAUCAGGAGCACCAGGGAAAGCAGGAGAAAUAGAUACAGAGGGAGCAUCAGGAGCAGCAGUGAAAGCAGGAGCAGCAGAUACAGCAGGAACAUCACGAGGAGCAGGAACAGCAGAAGCAACAGAUACAUCAAGAACAUCAGGAGCAGCAGGAGUAGGUGAGUACACAGUACCUUAACCUUCCAAUACUUAUCCCAUCCCUUGUCUUACCCACAAUAGGAAAAGCAGGAACAUCACGAGCAGCAGGAACAUCAGGAGAAACAGGAACAUCAGGAUCAGCAGGAGCAGCAGGUGAGUGCACAACAACUCCGUAACCUUUCCAUACUUAUCCAAUCCCUUAUCUCCCUCAGCAGAUACAGUAGGGGCAGCAGCAACAUAAGGAGCAGCACGAACAUCAGGAACAGCAGGAGCAGUAGGAAUAUAAGUAGCAACAAGAACAGCAGGAGCAGCAGGUGAGUGCACAGCACCUCCCUACCAUUCCUAUGCUUAUCCCAUCCCUUGUCUCUCCCACAGCAGGUACAUCAGGAGCAGCAGGAACAUCACGAGCAGCAGGAACAGCAGGUUCAGCAGUUAACACAGGAGAAGCAGGUGAGCACACAACACUUCCCUACCAUUCCCAUAAUCAUCCCAUUCCUUGUCUCACCCACAACAGGAGGAGGAGCAGCAGGAGCAGCAGUUUCAGGAGCAUCAGGUGAGUGUGCCCUACCCUCUCCAUACUUAUCCCAUCCCUUGUCUCACCCACUGAACGUACAGCAGCAGGUGAGGGCGUCACAUAACCCUGCCUUCCCUACUUCCAAUCCCAUCUCUUGUCGCAACAAGAGCAUCGUAAAUAGGAACAGUAGGAACAGCAGGAAGAGCAAGAGUACUAGGUGAGAGCUAAACACCUCCCUGCCUUCCCCACCACUAUUCCAUCCCUUGUCCCAGCAGGAGCAUCACAACCAAGAGCAGCAGGUACAGCAGCAGCAGUAGGAUCAUCAAGAGCAGCAGGUACUGCAGGAGCACACAUCAGGAGUAGCAGAAACAGCAGGUACGAAAGGAGGUACAGCAGCAGCAGCAGCACCCCCACAAACAGCAGCAGCAGAUAAAGCAGAUGUAGCAGCACCAGCAGCAGAUGCAAUAGCAGACGCAAGAGCAGCAGCAGCAGCAUCAGAUGCUUUUCUCCUCUUUCUCCUCCUCCUCCUCCUGGUUCUUCUCU
Scylla paramamosain (green mud crab) is the source of this 2983-nucleotide long non-coding RNA. RefSeq lists it as uncharacterized. The transcript is spliced from 2 exons. The record is from RefSeq and is a predicted model, not a curated record. NCBI's taxonomy places the organism in Eukaryota, Metazoa, Arthropoda, Malacostraca, Decapoda, Portunidae.